RNAcentral lists this ribosomal RNA (442 nucleotides) under uncultured fungus. Its description in RNAcentral is "eukaryotic LSU rRNA". The stretch from base 99 to 243 matches the Rfam family "5.8S ribosomal RNA". The record is from RNAcentral. Lineage: Eukaryota; Fungi.
CCGUAGGUGACCUGCGGAAGGAUCAUUGCAAAAUGAGAAGAGGAAAAUGAGUUGUAAUGUGAGCAUAAUGUGAUUGACAAAUAUUUCUUUACUUACACAACUCUCCACAAUGGAUCUCUGGGCUCUUGCAUCGAUGAAGAACGCAGCAAAACGCGAAAUGUGUUAUGACAUGCAAUCUUUGAGAAUCAAGAAAUUUUUGAACGCACCAUGUACCCUGCAAAGGGUAUACUUGUUUGAGUAUGAAAACGCAAAUGGAGAUUACGAGUUAUUUGUUUCUCUGAAAUACAAUAACAUAGAGUGUGUGAAUUGAAACUCGUUUUGGGAUAAAUGAACAAGACAAGAAUCAAAUCAUAUACUAGAGUGAACUACAUCUAUAUUUGUAACUUCACCCACCACUUUACAAUCUCAUCUCAAAUCAAGCAAGAUUACCCGCUGAACUUAA